UCGACUGCUAUUUGGGUGAGGAUAAGCCAUGCGAGUUGAAUGGGAUACCUAAAGUUCCCAUAGCAAACUGCUCAGUAACACAUGAUCAACUUGCCCUAUGGAGAAAUAUAACCUCGGGAAACUGAGGAUAAUGCUUCAUAGUUGAAUAGGCUUGGAAAAGUUUUUCAAUGAAAGGGAUAAGAAAAAUGGUUCUUAUCUGCCAUAGGAUAGGAUCGUGCUCGAUUAUGGUUGUUGGUGAGGUAACGGCUCACCAAGCCGAUAAUCGAUAGGGGCCGUGAGAGCGGGAGCCCCAAGAUGGGUACUGAGACAGCGACCCAGGCCUUACGAGGCGCAGCAGGUACGAAACCUCCGCAAUACACGAAAGUGUGACGGGGUUACCCACAGUGUUCUUAUAGAACUGUGGCAGGUGAGUAAUGUUCCCUGCUGGAAAGGAGAGGGCAAGGCUGGUGCCAGCCGCCGCGGUAAAACCAGCUCUUCAAGUGGUCGGGAUAAUUAUUGGGCUUAAAGUGUCCGUAGCCGGUUUAGUAAGUUCCUGGUAAAAUCAGGUAGCUUAACUAUCUGUAUGCUAGGAAUACUGCUAUACUAGAGGACGGGAGAGGUCUGAGGUACUACAGGGGUAGGGGUGAAAUCUUAUAAUCCUUGUAGGACCACCAGUGGCGAAGGCGUCAGACUGGAACGUGCCUGACGGUGAGGGACGAAAGCCAGGGGAGCGAACCGGAUUAGAUACCCGGGUAGUCCUGGCCGUAAACGAUGCAUACUAGGUGAUGGCAUGGCCAUGAGCCGUGUCAGUGCCGUAGGGAAACCGUUAAGUGUGCCGCCUGGGAAGUACGGUCGCAAGGCUAAAAC
This 846-nucleotide ribosomal RNA is filed under the name uncultured archaeon. Its description in RNAcentral is "bacterial SSU rRNA". It matches the Rfam family "Archaeal small subunit ribosomal RNA", at positions 23 to 855 of the family's 1478-position model. The record is from RNAcentral.